This is a small nucleolar RNA of Suncus etruscus (white-toothed pygmy shrew), 101 nucleotides long. RefSeq annotates it as small nucleolar RNA U13. Lineage: Eukaryota; Metazoa; Chordata; Mammalia; Eulipotyphla; Soricidae. The record is from RefSeq and is a predicted model, not a curated record. The transcript has a single exon.
AUUCUUUUCUGGCUCAUAAGCAUGAUGAACGAGUUUUCACAUGCCUGGUUAAUAUGUGCCUUUUUUCAACCUUAUGACAUCAGAACAUGACCCUUCUAACA